RNAcentral lists this ribosomal RNA (439 nucleotides) under uncultured eukaryote. RNAcentral describes it as "bacterial SSU rRNA". It matches the Rfam family "Bacterial small subunit ribosomal RNA", at positions 28 to 509 of the family's 1533-position model. The record is from RNAcentral.
GAUNAACGCUGGCGGUAUGCCUUAUACAUGCAAGUCGUACGGGAGUUUUUAACUCAAGUGGCGGACGGGUGAGUAACACGUAAGAAUUUGCCUUUAGGAGGGGGAUAACAACUGGAAACGGUUGCUAAUACCCCAUAUGCUUUCGAGUGAAAUGGAUUUCCGCCUAAAGAGAAGCUUGCGGCUGAUUAGCUUGUUGGUGAGGUAAUGGCUCACCAAGGCGACGAUCAGUAUCUGUUUGAGAGGACGAUCAGACACACUGGAACUGAGACACGGUCCAGACUCCUACGGGAGGCAGCAGUAGGGAAUUUUCCGCAAUGGGCGAAAGCCUGACGGAGCAAUACCGCGUGAGGGAUGACUGCCUAUGGGUUGUAAACCUCUUUUUUCAGGGAGGAACACAAUGACGUGUACCUGAAGAAUAAGCAUCGGCUAACUCCGUGCC